CAAAAUAGAGCUUGAAUAAGCAUUUCACUUACAUUGAAAAGAAGUCGUGAAAUUCGAUUAUUUUGA
RNAcentral lists this transfer RNA (66 nucleotides) under Choroterpes yixingensis. Its description in RNAcentral is "tRNA-Val". The record is from RNAcentral. Lineage: Eukaryota; Metazoa; Arthropoda; Insecta; Ephemeroptera; Leptophlebiidae.